AUGGGGCCACUGUCCAGAGAGGAGAAGACACUGCUCAGAGGGUGCUGGCCACACUGCUUUCAUACAGCUGGUUGCCUCCUCGUUCACGACUCCAGCGAGCAUCAGUGCGACCAGAGCGGGGAGCAGCGGUUCGGCCACCGUCGUUUCAGACAUGGCAGUCCUAAGAGCAGACGUCCCAGUUCCUUCUCCCCAGUCAGGCCUUUUUGUCACCUCCAGCUCUUCUCACUGCAGCUGAUACUGACCCCGUGCAAGGACCCCGAAGCCCUGCCGGAUCAGCAGAGAGUCUCCAGUGAGCAAGGGCAGAGCUCGCACGAUGUCGCGGACAGGGCAGGCUGCUACCUGCAGCAUUUCGUUUUCUUGGCGAAGGUGCCGUGGUGCAAUUUCCCAGGGGCCACCCAAACGCGGGCUCUCUCCAGCGUUGCAGGCUUGCUGGGCUUGCUGUGGGAUAACUUCAGCCCACGCUCUGAAGGCGGAGGUUGCGUGCCCUGCUGCCCUCCGGCAGCAGCAGGGUACGGAGCUAUCCUUGUGCUUGGCCCCCGGCCGGCAGAGCUGAAAGGGGCUUUAUGUCUUGCAGCUGUGAGCACUGGGCUGCAGCUGCCCUUUGCUCACGAGGCUGUAGUACUCUGGCUUUUCCCCUCCAGCUUAAACAGCGUAAACCCAUCCGGGGAACCUCCCGAGGAGAAACUGGGGCCACCAGCACAAGCAGUAGCCAAGCUAAACGGGGCCAUGCUGGGUCACGGAGCUGGUGAACAGCCGCG
This 758-nucleotide long non-coding RNA is filed under the name Struthio camelus australis. RNAcentral's name for it is "lncRNA (ENSSCUG00000005564.1)". The record is from RNAcentral. Lineage: Eukaryota; Metazoa; Chordata; Aves; Struthioniformes; Struthionidae.